Long non-coding RNA from Parus major (Great Tit), 1060 nucleotides. RefSeq lists it as uncharacterized. NCBI's taxonomy places the organism in Eukaryota, Metazoa, Chordata, Aves, Passeriformes, Paridae. The record is from RefSeq and is a predicted model, not a curated record. The transcript is spliced from 2 exons.
UUUUCACUUUUCAGAUCUCCAGCUUCUCUAACAGCUGAGCACCAACCGGCUCGGGGGGGUUUUAUCCUUCCCACCACCAGCAUCUGCACUGCCAGCUGGAAUUUUAUGUCCUCACAGCUUUUUUUUUUUAUUGGCAAGUUUGGGUACCAGGUCCUUAUAAGAAAGACAGAUUCCAUGUGGGAAUCAAUUCCCCAUCCCACAGGACACAGAUCAGCCCCUUCCCAGCACAUGGCAGCCCCAUACUUCCUUAGAAACACCCAAAAUGCCCCAAAAUAUGAAUUUAACUCCGAGCCUGGACCUCUUUCCCAGACCCAGCCUGAGAUCCAAAGCAGCGCCAGCCUCAGGAGAUCCCUGGAAAAGGCUCCAAACUGGAUUCUCCUGCAUCCUGGGAAUGGAGAACCACAGGGAAAUUCAUCUGCUUGGAAACCUGAUGUGUCCCAGUUAUAUUUUUUAUCUUUAUAUUUGCAAACUCCAGGAAUAUAAACAAACAAUUCUGUUUUGUCUUCGAGGUGACCUGACCCACUUUGGGAGCAGCAGCUCCUGCUUUGAAGCCUUCAUGAGGCUCUGCUGUUGGGAUUGGUGCUGGAAAAUCAUGGAAAAUGGGAAAUCCUGCUCUGCUACAAGCUCAGGGCUGGGAUUAAUGGGGAUUUUUUUUCUCUAAAAAAGUGGUGGAGCCAAUCAGAAUGAAAUAAUUUGGCUGUGUAGGCAGAGCAGGAUCAUUCCCAGCUUUAACCACAUUCCCUGAACUUUCUCCUUUUUGCCUGAGUCACCGAGGGCUCGGUUUCACAGCCGGGAUUUUUUGAAACGUCACCACAGCGGGAGGUGAUGCCAGCAAAGAAACUGGGGAAAACUGAGCCCUGAAGAUUCUCCAGGGGGUUAUUCCAGCCCCAAACCAUCCCAAAACGGGAAAAGGCUCCAGUCUCCCUGAGCUGAGGUGUGGAGUCCCGGAAUUUGGCUGCUGGGUUCCUUUCAGCGCUCACAUAACCUGACCUAAUUCCCCCUCCCGGGAGUGCUCGCCGUGUGUAAUUAAAGCUGCUUUGGGAUUAUUUCCUGCACCAAA